RNAcentral lists this ribosomal RNA (490 nucleotides) under uncultured bacterium. Its description in RNAcentral is "partial 16S ribosomal RNA". It matches the Rfam family "Bacterial small subunit ribosomal RNA", at positions 30 to 507 of the family's 1533-position model. The record is from RNAcentral.
AUUGAACGCUGGCGGCAGGCCUAACACAUGCAAGUCGAAUGGUAACAGGAAACAGCUUGCUGUUUCGCUGACGAGUGGCGGACGGGUGAGUAAUGUCUGGGAAACUGCCUGAUGGAGGGGGAUAACUACUGGAAACGGUAGCUAAUACCGCAUAACGUCGCAAGACCAAAGAGGGGGACCUUCGGGCCUCUUGCCUUCAGAUGUGCCCAGAUGGGAUUAGCUAGUAGGUGGGGUAACGGCUCACCUAGGCGACGAUCCCUAGCUGGUCUGAGAGGAUGACCAGCCACACUAGAACUGAGACACGGUCCAGACUCCUACGGGGGGCAGCAGUGGGGAAUAUUGCACAAUGGGCGCAAGCCUGAUGCAGCCAUGCCGCGUGUAUGAAGAAGGCCUUCGGGUUGUAAAGUACUUUCAGCGGGGAGGAAGGGAGUAAAGUUAAUACCUUUGCCCAUUGACGUUACCCGCAGAAGAAGCACCGGCUAACUCCGUG